UUCAAUAUUCACAUCAGUUAAACUAAAUUAAACCUUUAAUUAAUCCACUUUAAAAAUUCAUUUCAUUAACUGCUUCAAUUUCAUAGCAUUUAAACACCCUAAUUAAUCAAACACAUUUAACAAAAAAAAAUGAUAAUUAAAAUAGCUAGCAACAAUCCAAUUCAAAACAAGGAAAAUCACAACAAAAACCCCAUUUAAUUAAAAAAAUAAAAAGACAUAAAGGCCAAUUUUCUAAUUGGUCUAUCUACCAAUACAAAGGCC
This 261-nucleotide long non-coding RNA is filed under the name Vigna radiata. RNAcentral's name for it is "long non-coding RNA (VRAD_LNC018062)". Lineage: Eukaryota; Viridiplantae; Streptophyta; Magnoliopsida; Fabales; Fabaceae. The record is from RNAcentral.